AUGAACGCUGGCGGCGUGCCUAAUACAUGCAAGUCGAGCGCACGGACGAGAAGCUUGCUUUUCUGAUGUUAGCGGCGGACGGGUGAGUAACACGUGGAUAACCUACCUAUAAGACUGGGAUAACUUCGGGAAACCGGAGCUAAUACCGGAUAAUAUUUUGAACCGCAUGGUUCAAAAGUGAAAGACGGUCUUGCUGUCACUUAUAGAUGGAUCCGCGCUGCAUUGGCUAGUUGGUAAGGUAACGGCUUACCAAGGCAACGAUGCAUAGCCGACCUGAGAGGGUGAUCGGCCACACUGGAACUGAGACACGGUCCAGACUCCUACGGGAGGCAGCAGUAGGGAAUCUUCCGCAAUGGGCGAAAGCCUGACGGAGCAACGCCGCGUGAGUGAUGAAGGUCUUCGGAUCGUAAAACUCUGUUAUUAGGGAAGAACAUAUGUGUAAGUAACUGUGCACAUCUUGACGGUACCUAAUCAGAAAGCCACGGCUAACUACGUG
This 496-nucleotide ribosomal RNA is filed under the name uncultured bacterium. RNAcentral's name for it is "partial 16S ribosomal RNA". It matches the Rfam family "Bacterial small subunit ribosomal RNA", at positions 29 to 507 of the family's 1533-position model. The record is from RNAcentral.